Molecule: non-coding RNA, 177 nt
Filed under: Bacillus sp. (in: firmicutes)
Lineage: Bacteria; Bacillati; Bacillota; Bacilli; Caryophanales; Bacillaceae
Also listed under: 1 other name
Description: Bacillus sp. Lysine sequence
Rfam family: Lysine riboswitch aptamer
About the family: Riboswitches are metabolite binding domains within certain messenger RNAs that serve as precision sensors for their corresponding targets. Allosteric rearrangement of mRNA structure is mediated by ligand binding, and this results in modulation of gene expression. This family includes riboswitches that sense lysine in a number of genes involved in lysine metabolism, including lysC.
Source: RNAcentral
AGUGUAGGUAGAGGCGCGGGCUUCAAGAGUAAGAAUCCGGAGAUUAUGGGAAUCUAAGAAGGAUUUUGAAAGGGAAUACCGCCGAAGCUGAGGAUGGCCCAUUCCAUCCCAUGCUGGUCCUGUAUUGAAUAAAUGCAGGAUUGUCAGGGUUAUCCACCCUGGAGGGCUAUCUCACAU